Molecule: ribosomal RNA, 301 nt
Filed under: uncultured bacterium
Lineage: Bacteria
Description: partial 16S ribosomal RNA
Rfam family: Bacterial small subunit ribosomal RNA
Source: RNAcentral
CAGUAGCCGCGGGAAUACGUAGGUGGCAAGCGUUGUCCGGAAUUAUUGGGCGUAAAGCGCGCGCAGGCGGUUUCUUAAGUCUGAUGUGAAAGCCCCCGGCUUAACCGGGGAGGGUCAUUGGAAACUGUGUAACUAGAGUACUGGAGAGGUAAGCGGAACUACAAGUGUAGAGGUGAAAUGCGUAGAUAUUAGGAGGAACACCUGUGGCGAAAGCGGCUUUCUGGACGAAAACUGACGCUGAGGCGCGAAAGCCAGGGGAGCGAACGGGAUUAGAGACCCCAGUAGUCCCUGUCUCUUAUAC